This 96-nucleotide transfer RNA is filed under the name Streptomyces coelicolor. Its description in RNAcentral is "tRNA-Pro". RNAcentral also lists the same sequence under 3 other names. Lineage: Bacteria; Bacillati; Actinomycetota; Actinomycetes; Kitasatosporales; Streptomycetaceae. The record is from RNAcentral.
GGGGCCCGGGGGCCCGGGCGGCCUCAGGCGACCUCGGGGGCCGCCGUGGCGGGUCCGCCGAGCGCGUCGCGCCGUUCGGGCGUCCGCAGGGUCACC